GACGAACGCUGGCGGCGUGCCUAACACAUGCAAGUCAACUUGACUGAAGGAGCAAUCUGACAGUAGAGUGGCGCAAGGGUGCGUAACGCGUAAGUAACUUGCCCAAGGUAAGGAAUAACGUCGAGAAAUCGGCGCUAAUACCUCAUAAUGCAGCGGAUCCGCAUGGAUAUGUUGUUAAAGGUUUACCGCCUUGGGAUAGGCUUGCGUCUGAUUAGUUAGUUGGUGUGGUAACGGCACACCAAGGCUACGAUCAGUAACUGGUCUGAGAGGAUGAUCAGUCACACUGGAACUGAGACACGGUCCAGACUCCUACGGGAGGCAGCAGUGAGGAAUAUUGGGCAAUGCUCGAAAGAGUGACCCAGCAACGCCGCGUGGAGGAUGAAGGUAUUCUAUAUCGUAAACUCCUGUGAGAGCAGACGAAAGACAGAUUAUUAAUCUGAUGACUGUAUGCUCAGAGGAAGCCCCGGCUAACUACGUGCCAG
RNAcentral lists this ribosomal RNA (482 nucleotides) under uncultured bacterium. RNAcentral describes it as "bacterial SSU rRNA". It matches the Rfam family "Bacterial small subunit ribosomal RNA", at positions 28 to 511 of the family's 1533-position model. The record is from RNAcentral.